GGGCUGCAGUGGGGAAUAUUGCACAAUGGGGGAAACCCUGAUGCAGCCAUGCCGCGUGUGUGAAGAAGGCCUUCGGGUUGUAAAGCACUUUCAGUCAGGAGGAAAGGUAGCGUGUUAAUAGCACGUUGCUGUGACGUUACUGACAGAAGAAGGACCGGCUAACUCCGUGCCAGCAGCCGCGGUAAUACGGAGGGUCCGAGCGUUAAUCGGAAUUACUGGGCGUAAAGCGUGCGCAGGCGGUUUGUUAAGCCAGAUGUGAAAGCCCCGGGCUCAACCUGGGAAUUGCAUUUGGAACUGGCGAACUAGAGUCUUGUAGAGGGAGGUAGAAUUUCAGGUGUAGCGGUGAAAUGCGUAGAUAUCUGAAGGAAUACCGGUGGCGAAGGCGGCCUCCUGGACAAAGACUGACGCUCAUGCACGAAAGCGUGGGGAGCAAACAGGAUUAGAUACCCCGGUAGUC
RNAcentral lists this ribosomal RNA (457 nucleotides) under uncultured Shewanella sp. RNAcentral's name for it is "bacterial SSU rRNA". It matches the Rfam family "Bacterial small subunit ribosomal RNA", at positions 346 to 795 of the family's 1533-position model. Lineage: Bacteria; Pseudomonadati; Pseudomonadota; Gammaproteobacteria; Alteromonadales; Shewanellaceae. The record is from RNAcentral.